Molecule: ribosomal RNA, 473 nt
Filed under: uncultured eukaryote
Lineage: Eukaryota
Description: SSU rRNA
Rfam family: Eukaryotic small subunit ribosomal RNA
Source: RNAcentral
CUUAGAAGUGUAAUGAGGAUAAUUUACAAACCUUACCGAAUGCAAUUGGAGGGCAAGUCUGGUGCCAGCAGCCGCGGUAAUUCCAGCUCCAAUAGCGUAUAUUAAAGUUGUUGCAGUUAAAAAGCUCGUAGUUGAAGUUCUGAUUGCUCAGGUUUCCAGCCUUAGGCGGAGAUACUGACAGUCAUCCGCUUGCAAACAUAUGUUCGAUCUUCACCGGUUGGCUAUGUGAGUAAGCACUUUACCUUGAGAAAAACAGAGUGUUCCAGGCAGGUUUGUCCGGGAUGCAUUAGCAUGGAAUAAUAGAACAUGACUGAAGUCGAUUUAUUGGUUUAAGGCUUUAGUAAUGAUUAAUAGGAACAGUCGGGGGCAUUCGUACUCAGCAGUCAGAGGUGAAAUUCUAAGAUUUGCUGAAGACGAACUAAUGCGAAAGCAUUUGCCAAGGAUGUUUUCAUUAAUCAAGAACGAAAGUCGGG